Molecule: non-coding RNA, 426 nt
Organism: Chiloscyllium plagiosum (whitespotted bambooshark)
Lineage: Eukaryota; Metazoa; Chordata; Chondrichthyes; Orectolobiformes; Hemiscylliidae
Source: RefSeq, a predicted model, not a curated record
AGCCCAGCUAGAGGUUGAACGACAGGAGAGGCAUGGGCAAUCCCAGGAGGAGGAGAAUGGGGGCAAUGAGUAGUUGACAGAACAAAGGCUAUGCAAGAAGUCAGAAGAAUGGGCUUGAGAAACACACCAGCCAUGAUUGAAUAGUGGAGCAGACUUAAUGGGCUGAAUGUCUUAAUUCUUUUCCCAUAUCCUAUGACUUUUGUACUCUCCUUAGCUUCCUUGAUUAGCCAUGGUAAAUUUAUCCCUCCAUUAGAAACUUGCUUCUUUAUUGGAACAUUUUUUGCUGAUAGUCAUGAAUUACUUCCUUAAAUGUUUGCCACAGGUUGCUUACUGUCCUUCCUACAAAUCUAUCUGCCCAGUCCACUUUAGCUAACUCUAUCUUAACUUUAUUUCUUUUAUUUAAAUUAAACAGAAAUUUCUCACUUC